UAGGGAAUAUUGCAAAAUGGGCGAAAGCCCGAUGCAGCAACGCCGCGUGGGCGAUGAAGGCCUUCGGGUCGUAAAGCCCUUUUUGAGGGGAUGAGGAAGGACAGUACCCUCAGAAUAAGCCUCGGCUAACUACGUGCCAGCAGCCGCGGUAAAACGUAGGAGGCGAGCGUUAUCCGGAUUUACUGGGCGUAAAGCGCGUGCAGGCGGAUUGGAGAGUUGGAUGUGAAAGCUCCCGGCUUAACUGGGAGAGGUCGUUCAAUACUUCCAGUCUUGAGUGCAGUAGAGGGAAGUGGAAUUCCGGGUGUAGUGGUGAAAUGCGUAGAGAUGUGGAAGAACACCGAUGGCGAAGGCAGCUCCCUGGGUUGACACUGACGCUCAUGCACGAAAGCGUGGGGAGCAAACA
This 403-nucleotide ribosomal RNA is filed under the name uncultured bacterium. RNAcentral describes it as "bacterial SSU rRNA". It matches the Rfam family "Bacterial small subunit ribosomal RNA", at positions 355 to 774 of the family's 1533-position model. The record is from RNAcentral.